UACGUAGGUGGCAAGCGUUAUCCGGAAUUAUUGGGCGUAAAGAGCGCGCAGGUGGUUGAUUAAGUCUGAUGUGAAAGCCCACGGCUUAACCGUGGAGGGUCAUUGGAAACUGGUCGACUUGAGUGCAGAAGAGGGGAAGUGGAAUUCCAUGUGUAGCGGUGAAAUGCGUAGAGAUAUGGAGGAACACCAGUGGCGAAGGCGGCUUGCUGGGCAGCAACUGACGCUGAGGCGCGAAAGCCAGGGGAGCAAACAGGAUUAGA
RNAcentral lists this ribosomal RNA (260 nucleotides) under uncultured prokaryote. RNAcentral describes it as "partial 16S ribosomal RNA". It matches the Rfam family "Bacterial small subunit ribosomal RNA", at positions 524 to 782 of the family's 1533-position model. The record is from RNAcentral.